Molecule: ribosomal RNA, 480 nt
Filed under: uncultured Rhodocyclaceae bacterium
Lineage: Bacteria; Pseudomonadati; Pseudomonadota; Betaproteobacteria; Rhodocyclales; Rhodocyclaceae
Description: bacterial SSU rRNA
Rfam family: Bacterial small subunit ribosomal RNA
Source: RNAcentral
CAAAUGAAUUGACGGGGACCCGCACAAGCGGUGGAUGAUGUGGAUUAAUUCGAUGCAACGCGAAAACCUUACCUACCCUUGACAUGUCCGGAAUCCCGAAGAGAUUUGGGAGUGCUCGCAAGAGAACCGGAACACAGGUGCUGCAUGGCUGUCGUCAGCUCGUGUCGUGAGAUGUUGGGUUAAGUCCCGCAACGAGCGCAACCCUUGUCAUUAGUUGCCAUCAUUUGGUUGGGCACUCUAAUGAGACUGCCGGUGACAAACCGGAGGAAGGUGGGGAUGACGUCAAGUCCUCAUGGCCCUUAUGGGUAGGGCUUCACACGUCAUACAAUGGUCGGUACAGAGGGUUGCCAACCCGCGAGGGGGAGCCAAUCCCAUAAAGCCAUUCGUAGUCCGGAUCGCAGUCUGCAACUCGACUGCGUGAAGUCGGAAUCGCUAGUAAUCGUGGAUCAGAAUGUCACGGUGAAUACGUUCCCGGGUCUU